Long non-coding RNA from Saccostrea echinata, 264 nucleotides. RefSeq lists it as uncharacterized. NCBI's taxonomy places the organism in Eukaryota, Metazoa, Mollusca, Bivalvia, Ostreida, Ostreidae. The transcript is spliced from 3 exons. The record is from RefSeq and is a predicted model, not a curated record.
CUGUCCUCUUCUUUUGAUCAGAAGAAGGCUGUUAGCAAGUCGAAAAGAUCGACAAAAAGUCGUUUGGUUGACAAGCAGGUGCUUGAAGGUCCUUCUCCGCCAUCUGAAACGGGAAAAGUACGAACUAUGAAACAGGACUCUCGAAAAAGGCGGAGGCGGACCGGUCUGGAUAUGUUUUCCAAGCGGACAAAAGCUAGUGAUGACGGAAUGUUAGAACGGCUGGUUCGUCUGUUUGCCAUGCUGACCUUAUAAGCCGAUCAUUGA